AUUGAACGCUAGCGGGAUGCUUUACACAUGCAAGUCGAACGGAGUGGCGGACGGGUGAGUAAUAUCUCGGAACGUGCCCAGUAGCGGGGGAUAACUCCUCGAAAGAGUGGCUAAUACCGCAUACUAUUUGAUAGGCCGAUAUGGGAUUAGCUAGUUGGUGGGGUAAAGGCUCACCAAGGCCACGAUCCGUAGCUGGUUUGAGAGGCUGACCAGCCACACUGGGACUGAGACACGGCCCAGACUCCUACGGGAGGCAGCAGUGGGGAAUGUUGGACAAUGGGGGAAACCCUGAUCCAGCCAUCCCGCGUGUAUGAUGAAGGCCUUCGGGUUGUAAAGUACUUUUGGCAGAGAAGCGGUAUCUGCAGAAUAAGAACCGGCUAACUACGUGCCAGCAGCCGCGGUAAUUC
Molecule: ribosomal RNA, 407 nt
Filed under: uncultured bacterium
Lineage: Bacteria
Description: partial 16S ribosomal RNA
Rfam family: Bacterial small subunit ribosomal RNA
Source: RNAcentral